UCCUGCGGAGCUCAGUUGGUAAAGCAUCUGCCUGCGACGCGGGAGACCUGGGUUCAAUUCCUGGCUCAGGAU
Transfer RNA from Ovis aries (sheep), 72 nucleotides. It matches the Rfam family "tRNA". From Rfam's summary of the family: Transfer RNA (tRNA) molecules are approximately 80 nucleotides in length. Their secondary structure includes four short double-helical elements and three loops (D, anti-codon, and T loops). The record is from Rfam. NCBI's taxonomy places the organism in Eukaryota, Metazoa, Chordata, Mammalia, Artiodactyla, Bovidae.